CAAUAGCGUAUAUUAAAGUUGUUGCAGUUAGAACGCUCGUAGUCGGAUUUCGGGGCGGGUCGACCGGUCUGCCGAUGGGUACGCACUGGCCGACGCGUCCUUUUUGCCGGAGACCGUCCCUACUCUUAACUGAGCGGGGUCGGGAGACGGCACUUUUACUUUGAAAAAAUCAGAGUGUUUCAAGCAGGCAGCUCGCUCUUGCAUGGAUUAGCAUGGGAUAAUGAAAUAGGACUUUGGUGCUAUUUUGUUGGUUUCGAACACCGAAGUAAUGAUGAGAAGGGACAGUCAGGGGCACUCGUAUUCCGCCGAGAGAGGUGAAAUUCUCAGACCAGCGGAAGACGAACCACUGCGAANGNAUUUGCNAGGGAUGUUUNCACUG
Molecule: ribosomal RNA, 379 nt
Filed under: uncultured eukaryote
Lineage: Eukaryota
Description: partial 18S ribosomal RNA
Rfam family: Eukaryotic small subunit ribosomal RNA
Source: RNAcentral